GGGUUGUGAGGUUAAGCGACUAAGCGUACACGGUGGAUGCCCUGGCAGUCAGAGGCGAUGAAGGGCGUGCUAAUCUGCGAUAAGCGCCGGUAAGGUGAUAUGAACCGUUAUAACCGGCGAUACCCGAAUGGGGAAACCCAGUGUGACUCGUCACACUAUCAUUAACUGAAUCCAUAGGUUAAUGAGGCGAACCGGGGGAACUGAAACAUCUAAGUACCCCGAGGAAAAGAAAUCAACCGAGAUUCCCCCAGUAGCGGCGAGCGAACGGGGAGGAGCCCAGAGCCUGAAUCAGCAUGUGUGUUAGUGGAAGCGUCUGGAAAGGCGCGCGAUACAGGGUGACAGCCCCGUACACAAAAGCGCAUGUGCUGUGAGCUCGAUGAGUAGGGCGGGACACGUGGUAUCCUGUCUGAAUAUGGGGGGACCAUCCUCCAAGGCUAAAUACUCCUGACUGACCGAUAGUGAACCAGUACCGUGAGGGAAAGGCGAAAAGAACCCCGGCGAGGGGAGUGAAAAAGAACCUGAAACCGUGUACGUACAAGCAGUGGGAGCACCCUUUGGGGUGUGACUGCGUACCUUUUGUAUAAUGGGUCAGCGACUUAUAUUCUGUAGCAAGGUUAACCGUAUAGGGGAGCCGGAGGGAAACCGAGUCUUAACCGGGCGUUAAGUUGCAGGGUAUAGACCCGAAACCCGGUGAUCUAGCCAUGGGCAGGUUGAAGGUUGGGUAACACUAACUGGAGGACCGAACCGACUAAUGUUGAAAAAUUAGCGGAUGACCUGUGGCUGGGGGUGAAAGGCCAAUCAAACCGGGAGAUAGCUGGUUCUCCCCGAAAGCUAUUUAGGUAGCGCCUCGUGAAUUCAUCUCCGGGGGUAGAGCACUGUUUCGGCUAGGGGGCCAUCCCGGCUUACCAACCCGAUGCAAACUGCGAAUACCGGAGAAUGUUAUCACGGGAGACACACGGCGGGUGCUAACGUCCGUCGUGAAGAGGGAAACAACCCAGACCGCCAGCUAAGGUCCCAAAGUCAUGGUUAAGUGGGAAACGAUGUGGGAAGGCCCAGACAGCCAGGAUGUUGGCUUAGAAGCAGCCAUCAUUUAAAGAAAGCGUAAUAGCUCACUGGUCGAGUCGGCCUGCGCGGAAGAUGUAACGGGGCUAAACCAUGCACCGAAGCUGCGGCAGCGACGCUUAUGCGUUGUUGGGUAGGGGAGCGUUCUGUAAGCCUGUGAAGGUGGCCUGUGAGGGUUGCUGGAGGUAUCAGAAGUGCGAAUGCUGACAUAAGUAACGAUAAAGCGGGUGAAAAGCCCGCUCGCCGGAAGACCAAGGGUUCCUGUCCAACGUUAAUCGGGGCAGGGUGAGUCGACCCCUAAGGCGAGGCCGAAAGGCGUAGUCGAUGGGAAACGGGUUAAUAUUCCCGUACUUGGUGUUACUGCGAAGGGGGGACGGAGAAGGCUAUGUUGGCCGGGCGACGGUUGUCCCGGUUUAAGCGUGUAGGUGUGUGUUCCAGGUAAAUCCGGUUCACUUUAACACUGAGGCGUGAUGACGAGGCACUACGGUGCUGAAGCAACAAAUGCCCUGCUUCCAGGAAAAGCCUCUAAGCAUCAGGUAACAUCAAAUCGUACCCCAAACCGACACAGGUGGUCAGGUAGAGAAUACCAAGGCGCUUGAGAGAACUCGGGUGAAGGAACUAGGCAAAAUGGUGCCGUAACUUCGGGAGAAGGCACGCUGACACGUAGGUGAAGUGAUUUACUCAUGGAGCUGAAGUCAGUCGAAGAUACCAGCUGGCUGCAACUGUUUAUUAAAAACACAGCACUGUGCAAACACGAAAGUGGACGUAUACGGUGUGACGCCUGCCCGGUGCCGGAAGGUUAAUUGAUGGGGUCAGCGCAAGCGAAGCUCCUGAUCGAAGCCCCGGUAAACGGCGGCCGUAACUAUAACGGUCCUAAGGUAGCGAAAUUCCUUGUCGGGUAAGUUCCGACCUGCACGAAUGGCGUAAUGAUGGCCAGGCUGUCUCCACCCGAGACUCAGUGAAAUUGAACUCGCUGUGAAGAUGCAGUGUACCCGCGGCAAGACGGAAAGACCCCGUGAACCUUUACUAUAGCUUGACACUGAACAUUGAGCCUUGAUGUGUAGGAUAGGUGGGAGGCUUUGAAGCGUGGACGCCAGUCUGCGUGGAGCCGACCUUGAAAUACCACCCUUUAAUGUUUGAUGUUCUAACGUGGACCCGUUACCCGGGUUGCGGACAGUGUCUGGUGGGUAGUUUGACUGGGGCGGUCUCCUCCUAAAGAGUAACGGAGGAGCACGAAGGUUGGCUAAUCCUGGUCGGACAUCAGGAGGUUAGUGCAAUGGCAUAAGCCAGCUUGACUGCGAGCGUGACGGCGCGAGCAGGUGCGAAAGCAGGUCAUAGUGAUCCGGUGGUUCUGAAUGGAAGGGCCAUCGCUCAACGGAUAAAAGGUACUCCGGGGAUAACAGGCUGAUACCGCCCAAGAGUUCAUAUCGACGGCGGUGUUUGGCACCUCGAUGUCGGCUCAUCACAUCCUGGGGCUGAAGUAGGUCCCAAGGGUAUGGCUGUUCGCCAUUUAAAGUGGUACGCGAGCUGGGUUUAGAACGUCGUGAGACAGUUCGGUCCCUAUCUGCCGUGGGCGCUGGAGAACUGAGGGGGGCUGCUCCUAGUACGAGAGGACCGGAGUGGACGCAUCACUGGUGUUCGGGUUGUCAUGCCAAUGGCACUGCCCGGUAGCUAAAUGCGGAAGAGAUAAGUGCUGAAAGCAUCUAAGCACGAAACUUGCCCCGAGAUGAGUUCUCCCUGAGACUUAGAGUCUCCUGAAGGAACGUUGAAGACGACGACGUUGAUAGGCCGGGUGUGUAAGCGCAGCGAUGCGUUGAGCUAACCGGUACUAAUGAACCGUGAGGCUUAACCUUACAACGCCGAAG
Molecule: ribosomal RNA, 2927 nt
Filed under: Salmonella enterica subsp. enterica serovar Milwaukee str. SA19950795
Lineage: Bacteria; Pseudomonadati; Pseudomonadota; Gammaproteobacteria; Enterobacterales; Enterobacteriaceae
Description: bacterial LSU rRNA
Rfam family: Bacterial large subunit ribosomal RNA
Source: RNAcentral